AUGGAACAAAAUGUCCUGGAGCAAAUACUUGAGGGCAGCAUGGAGCCAACACAUAUUCCGCUAGUAACUUUAUGGAAAAUCACUGACGGGUUUUCCCCGGAUAGAAUAAUCGGUGAAGGGGGAUUCGCAACGGUUUAUAAGGGUGUUGUUGGGAAUUGGAGUGUUGCUGUGAAGAAGAUCAGGAGCGUCAAGACAAUUGAUGACAAGCUCUUUCGUCGUGAGGUUGGCAGCCUACUGGAGGUGAACCAUCCAAACGUAGUUCGGUUUCUCGGCUUAUGUUCUGAUACAGUGGAGACACCAAUGAAAAACCCAGAUGGCAGAGGAUAUAUUUACGCCGAGGAAAGAGAAAGAUUAAUGUGUUUUGAGUAUAUCACUAAUGGGAGCCUUGACACAAAAAUUACAGAUGAAUUAAGAGGCUUUGAGUGGGAUAAGCGUUAUAAGAUAAUUAGAGGAAGUUGUGCGGGUCUACAUUAUCUACACAUGGAAAAACAUAUUCUUCAUAUGGAUCUAAAGCCUGCCAACAUACUACUAAAUGAUGGACUGGUGCCAAAGAUUACGGACUUUGGUCUAUCAAGACCAAUAGAUUGCUCACAAACUAUGGCCGAAAUGCAUUUUUCACUAGGCUAUUGCGCUCCGGAAAUCCUGUUUGGUGGUAGGAUGUCCCCCAAGUCAGACAUGUAUAGUUUGGGUGUCACAAUCGUCGAACUGGUGACAGGACAUAAGGGUACCCCUAAUAAGGAUAAUGUAAGAGUGUUUUAUCUCGUGACGGAAAAACACUUCUUUAAGAAUCAUGUUUCCGUUGCAUGUUGUGGCUCCUACUGA
RNAcentral lists this ribosomal RNA (822 nucleotides) under Triticum aestivum (bread wheat). RNAcentral describes it as "partial small subunit ribosomal RNA". The record is from RNAcentral. Lineage: Eukaryota; Viridiplantae; Streptophyta; Magnoliopsida; Poales; Poaceae.